This 74-nucleotide transfer RNA is filed under the name Planctomycetota bacterium. Its description in RNAcentral is "Planctomycetes bacterium (bioreactor metagenome) tRNA-Arg". It matches the Rfam family "tRNA". Rfam says of the family: Transfer RNA (tRNA) molecules are approximately 80 nucleotides in length. Their secondary structure includes four short double-helical elements and three loops (D, anti-codon, and T loops). Lineage: Bacteria; Pseudomonadati; Planctomycetota. The record is from RNAcentral.
GCAGGCAUAGCUCAAUUGGAUAGAGCACCUGACUACGGAUCAGGAGGUUGGGGGUUCGAGUCCUCCUGCCUGCA